ACUCCAGACUCCUACGGGAGGCAGCAGUGGGGAAUAUUGCACAAUGGGGGAAACCCUGAUGCAGCGACGCCGCGUGGAGGAAGAAGGUCUUCGGAUUGUAAACUCCUGUCCUUGGGGACGAUAAUGACGGUACCCAAGGAGGAAGCACCGGCUAACUCCGUGCCGGCAGCCGCGGUAAUACGGAGGGUGCAAGCGUUACUCGGAAUCACUGGGCGUAAAGAGUGCGUAGGCGGGGUAAUAAGUCAGAUGUGAAAUCCUGUAGCUUAACUACAGAACUGCAUUUGAAACUGUUACUCUGGAGUGUGGGAGAGGUAGGUGGAAUUCUUGGUGUAGGGGUAAAAUCCGUAGAGAUCAAGAGGAAUACUCAUUGCGAAGGCGACCUGCUGGAACAUUACUGACGCUGAUGCACGAAAGCGUGGGGAGCAAACAGGAUUAGAUACCCUCGUAUCC
Molecule: ribosomal RNA, 450 nt
Filed under: uncultured bacterium
Lineage: Bacteria
Description: bacterial SSU rRNA
Rfam family: Bacterial small subunit ribosomal RNA
Source: RNAcentral